RNAcentral lists this small RNA (63 nucleotides) under Sinorhizobium meliloti 2011. RNAcentral describes it as "putative ncRNA". The record is from RNAcentral. Lineage: Bacteria; Pseudomonadati; Pseudomonadota; Alphaproteobacteria; Hyphomicrobiales; Rhizobiaceae.
UUCCCCGCCGGUGCCGGUUGCGAGCUUGCGAAACAGGAGAUCGGCACCGGUCUCGCUGUCGGC